This 400-nucleotide ribosomal RNA is filed under the name uncultured bacterium. RNAcentral's name for it is "bacterial SSU rRNA". It matches the Rfam family "Bacterial small subunit ribosomal RNA", at positions 975 to 1375 of the family's 1533-position model. The record is from RNAcentral.
CUGGUCUUGACAUCCACAGAACUUUCCAGAGAUGGAUUGGUGCCUUCGGGAACUGUGAGACAGGUGCUGCAUGGCUGUCGUCAGCUCGUGUUGUGAAAUGUUGGGUUAAGUCCCGCAACGAGCGCAACCCUUAUCCUUUGUUGCCAGCGGUCCGGCCGGGAACUCAAAGGAGACUGCCAGUGAUAAACUGGAGGAAGGUGGGGAUGACGUCAAGUCAUCAUGGCCCUUACGACCAGGGCUACACACGUGCUACAAUGGCGCAUACAAAGAGAAGCGACCUCGCGAGAGCAAGCGGACCUCAUAAAGUGCGUCGUAGUCCGGAUUGGAGUCUGCAACUCGACUCCAUGAAGUCGGAAUCGCUAGUAAUCGUAGAUCAGAAUGCUACGGUGAAUACGUUCCC